This is a long non-coding RNA of Mercenaria mercenaria, 1943 nucleotides long. RefSeq lists it as uncharacterized. The record is from RefSeq and is a predicted model, not a curated record. The transcript is spliced from 7 exons. Lineage: Eukaryota; Metazoa; Mollusca; Bivalvia; Venerida; Veneridae.
UCUUUUAAUUUGAUUUUGACUAAUGAAAUUAUUUGCUUCUUGGUAACAUUCUUAACUUUUUGCUGGAUAUAUUUUUUUGCCGUUCCUCAACUCUGACCCUUUCGGCGGGGGAUUCCAAUUCAUCGAAUUUGCUUGUUGAUAUUAUUAUGGCCCCCUUCGAAGAAGGAGGGGUAUAUAUUGUUUUGCAGAUGUCGGUCGGUAGGUCGUUCGGUCAGUCGGAAUGUAGACCAAUCCGUUUCCGGAUGAUAACUCAAGAACGCUUAGGCCUAGGAUCAUGAAAGUUGAUAGGGAGGUUGGUCAUCACCAGCAGAUGAACCCUAUUGAUUUUGAGGUCUGUAUGGCAAAGGUCAAGGUCACAGUGACCCUGAAUAAUAAAAUGGUUUCCGGAUGAUAACUCAAGAACACUUGAGCCUAGGAUCAUGAAAGUUGAUAGGGAGUACCCAAAACCCUGAAAUGAGAGCGCUUGAACAAUGUGAAGUUUGUCGCAUAGAAGGGGAUUGACCGCCUUUGUGUAUAUAAGUCUACAACUUCUCAGAUUUGACUGAAGACAAUUGUUUGGUGUUGUGAAUAGAGAAAUAUAUGAGGUAGGGCAGUUUUCCAUAAGCACAACAAGAAGUUCACAUUUGUUGCACAGAUUUGUGUCUCACAUGUAUGGAGUUGAAGGAAUAGUUACAGGAAAAGGGUACAGAAUAUGUAAGGAUAUGAUAGCCAAACAUCUUCCCCAGGAUUCGAUGCGGUAACCUUCUGAUAGAAAAAUGUACCCGUUGUGCAAAGGGGAUAAGCUGGCUUGGUGACAGGAAAAAGAAAAGGAAAAUGACCCCAGGAAAGAUAAGAUACAGCAGAUACAAGUUGCUAAGGACAAGAAUGUCUGUUAUUCAUGGAAACAUCAGAGUUCAGCAGGUUCUUGAAACAGGCCAUUUGAAACCAGAGACUACCAGUACAUUUUUGGUGAUCAUUUGACGAGGCCAGUUGUAGUGUUUUAACAUGAGACAGGAAAAGUACAUGUAUAUACUCUGGUUACAGAUUUGCAGUAUCAACCAGCAUCCACAGCCAUUCUAAAUAUAGGACCAACACAAUCAGACAAGCUGGCAAGAUGUUCAAGAGUGGUGACAUGCUGCCCAAGAUUCUAGUCUGGAGAUACCAUCGGCGAUCUUAGAAAUUUUUUUUAAGAUUUAAUAAAAAUGUGACAUUGACUUAAGACUACAUUUAUACUGUUUUCAGUCAAAGGCUUUUCUCUGUUUUUUUUUUUUUCAACAUUAAUAAUAUCUGUCAUGUGUUUACGAAUCGGAUAUAAAUAUCCCUCCAGAGGGCACCUGCGCAUUGGGUGGUAAUGAGGCUUGCCGAAUUACCGCUCAUACGCAGGUGGCCGAGGGACAGAUAUUUCCAUCCGAUUCGUAAACACAUGACUGAUAUUUUUUCUUGCAUAUCGUAUACAUGCUACCAUUUUAAUCAGCAGAAUUUCUUGCAAAUUGUAUUUUACAGAUAAGAGCUAGAAAUACUUUCUUUAUAGCACACUUUCUUACAGUAGAGAAUGAACACAAAGCGCAGGAAAUUAACGUCCGUAAGCAGAAGUGACAUCAUGAUGUUUCGCGUUACGCACAAUAACAAUGUUCCACUUUAGUUUAAUUGUUUGUAGCGUAACGUUAUGUUCUUACGGUAAACUAAUGUAUUUUGAAUCGAGGAAUAUACUAUAAGGAAAGGAGAGAAACUAUCGAGGUAACUGCUUUUUUGUAUUUUACAUAAAAUUAUAAUAUAUUAUCAGUGCUUGAACCACUACACUAGUUGUCAUUAACAGCACGAGAGUCAUCUGGCAUGGGGGUGCCAGAUGGGUUUUGCCGGCAUGGGUAAAAUCACCGGAAACGCCAGUCCGAUGUGCAAGAAAUUAUCUGAAAAAUAACUGUAUUGAGACAAGUUUGUAUGUCAAAAUAAAGCAAUGAAAAAUA